GCACUGGGACACCAGUGAGCAACACAACAGCCAGUGCGCGCGCCAUGGCCUCCCUCGCCGCCGCCGUCUCCGUGCAGCCCGUGGCCGUGAAGGGCCUCUCCGGCAGCUCCAUCUCCGGCAGGAAGCUCGCCGUCGCCAGCAGGCCGUCGUCGUCGGCCCGCGCCGCCUGCCGCUCCACCCGCAGGGCCGCCGUCGUGGCCAAGUACGGCGACAAGAGCGUCUACUUCGACCUCGAGGACAUCGGCAACACCACCGGGCAGUGGGACCUCUACGGCUCCGACGCUCCCUCGCCCUACAACCCGCUCCAGGUGAUGCUUCCAUUUCAUCCAAUUUCCUGCAGUUAUUCUUCCAUACUCUCGUAAAAGAAAUCGUUUAGGACAAUGAUAUGGGCUGUCAAACCUAACUUUAACCUCUUAUUUUUCACGUCACCAGAGCAAGUUCUUCGAGACGUUCGCGGCUCCGUUCACCAAGAGAGGCCUGCUGCUGAAGUUCCUGCUGCUGGGCGGGGGCUCCCUGCUGGCCUACGUCAGCGCGUCGGCGUCGCCGGACCUCCUGCCGAUCAAGAAGGGACCGCAGCAGCCGCCGCAGCCGGGCCCGCGCGGCAAGAUCUAAGCUCAUCGACCAGCUCCGGCCUCCAUUUGCGUUGCAUGGUCUAGUAGUAGCUUGCUUUGUACUGCUAGCUCCCGGUCGGUC
Molecule: long non-coding RNA, 693 nt
Filed under: Sorghum bicolor (sorghum)
Lineage: Eukaryota; Viridiplantae; Streptophyta; Magnoliopsida; Poales; Poaceae
Description: long non-coding RNA (SBIC_LNC016776)
Source: RNAcentral